RNAcentral lists this ribosomal RNA (635 nucleotides) under Penicillium manginii. RNAcentral's name for it is "eukaryotic LSU rRNA". It matches the Rfam family "Eukaryotic large subunit ribosomal RNA", at positions 1 to 649 of the family's 3401-position model. Lineage: Eukaryota; Fungi; Ascomycota; Eurotiomycetes; Eurotiales; Aspergillaceae. The record is from RNAcentral.
GUUGACCUCGGAUCAGGUAGGGAUACCCGCUGAACUUAAGCAUAUCAAUAAGCGGAGGAAAAGAAACCAACCGGGAUUACCCUAGUAACGGCGAGUGAAGCGGUAAGAGCUCAAAUUUGAAAGCUGGCCCCUUCGGGGUCCGCAUUGUAAUUUGCAGAGGAUGCUUCGGGAGCGGUCCCCAUCUAAGUGCCCUGGAACGGGCCGUCAUAGAGGGUGAGAAUCCCGUAUGGGAUGGGGUGCCCGCGCCCGUGUGAAGCUCCUUCGACGAGUCGAGUUGUUUGGGAAUGCAGCUCUAAUUGGGUGGUAAAUUUCAUCUAAAGCUAAAUAUUGGCCGGAGACCGAUAGCGCACAAGUAGAGUGAUCGAAAGAUGAAAAGCACUUUGAAAAGAGAGUUAAACAGCACGUGAAAUUGUUGAAAGGGAAGCGCUUGCGAUCAGACUCGCUCGCGGGGUUCAGCCGGCCUUCGGGCCGGUGUACUUCCCCGCGGGCGGGCCAGCGUCGGUUUGGGCGGCCGGUCAAAGGCCCCUGGAAUGUAACGCCUCUCGGGGCGUCUUAUAGCCAGGGGUGCCAUGCGGCCUGCCCGGACCGAGGAACGCGCUUCGGCUCGGACGCUGGCAUAAUGGUCGUAAGCGACC